RNAcentral lists this long non-coding RNA (678 nucleotides) under Elaeis guineensis (African oil palm). RNAcentral describes it as "long non-coding RNA (EGUI_LNC023431)". Lineage: Eukaryota; Viridiplantae; Streptophyta; Magnoliopsida; Arecales; Arecaceae. The record is from RNAcentral.
CCCACAUGAUUUAAAAUUUUAAAUCUUUUCAAAAUUUGAAAUAAUUCAAAAUCUUUUAUAUUAGACACUUUAAACUAUGCAAUGGAUAAACGUACCUUUUAGAUUUGAACCUUCACUUAGUAUUGACAAGUACUCAUCUGAGGGCCUAUUAGUAGACUAAGCCUUAAAUCCAGCCGGUGAAUCAGAUUUGCACAAGUCACACGUAUAGUACAUAUUAGUAAUGUGUUCCAAGCGAAUAACGCUUUUAUGGCCAUGUGUUGGCAUCUCUUCAUGUGUGCUUUAGGGAAUAGCCCAUUUUUCAUAGCCGUGGCCUUACGACUUCACACAUAUAGUAGGUUCUCAAAGGAUACUUGCAAGGUAGUACCCUACCACAUGGAUCUCGAAACCAUUUAGAGUUGAGCUCUUCCUGAAUUCUUUGCAUUUAUGGAGCACUAUCAUCAUAGGGUAGGGAACACAAGUAGUGCUCAUUAUACUCAUGUCAUCUAUUUGGCUUGUUUCCAUCCAUUGAACCUCCAUGAGGUUGGAUUGCCAACGUCGAUUUCUCUUAUGGGCUUAACCCCAUCCCUCCCGAUGAUUCAAGUACCAUAGUCCUUGAUAAUCCUUUUAUAAGCUGAUCGGCAAGGUUUCUCUCAAACUUGACAAAAUGUAAAGAAAUUACAUUAUAUUUAAGUUUUUGAC